UACGAAGGGGGCUAGCGUUGCUCGGAAUCACUGGGCGUAAAGCGCACGUAGGCGGAUCUUUAAGUCAGAGGUGAAAUCCCAAGGCUCAACCUUGGAACUGCCUUUGAUACUGGGGAUCUCGAGUCCGGAAGAGGUGAGUGGAACUGCGAGUGUAGAGGUGAAAUUCGUAGAUAUUCGGAGGAACACCAGUGGCGAAGGCGGGUCUCUGGACAGUUCCUGACGCUGAGGCACGAAGGCCAGGGGAGCAAACGGG
RNAcentral lists this ribosomal RNA (253 nucleotides) under uncultured bacterium. RNAcentral describes it as "partial 16S ribosomal RNA". It matches the Rfam family "Bacterial small subunit ribosomal RNA", at positions 524 to 776 of the family's 1533-position model. The record is from RNAcentral.